AACCAACAGGGAUUGCCUCAGUAACGGCGAGUGAAGCGGCAAAAGCUCAAAUUUGAAAUCCUGCGGGAGUUGUAAUUUGAAGGUUGCGGGUCCUGAGGCUGUGCGCGCCCAAGUCCAUUGGAACAUGGCGCCUGGGAGGGUGAGAGCCCCGUCCGGCGCAGCGCAGUCUUUUUUGCGGCCCGUUUCCGACGAGUCGAGUUGUUUGGGAAUGCAGCUCAAAGUGGGUGGUAAAUUCCAUCUAAAGCUAAAUAUUGGCGAGAGACCGAUAGCGAACAAGUACAGUGAUGGAAAGAUGAAAAGCACUUUGAAAAGAGAGUGAAACAGUACGUGAAAUUGUUGAAAGGGAAGGGCUUGCAAGCAGACACGGUUUCGGCCGGGCCAGCAUCGGUUUGCCGGGGCGGACAAUGCGGCGGGAAUGUGGCGCGCCUCCUUGUGGGGCGCGUGUUUAUAGCCCGCCGAGAUACGCCCAUGGCAGACCGAGCCUGCGAUCCAAUCUAGGAUGCUGGCGUAAUG
Molecule: ribosomal RNA, 513 nt
Filed under: Yamadazyma aaseri
Lineage: Eukaryota; Fungi; Ascomycota; Pichiomycetes; Serinales; Debaryomycetaceae
Description: eukaryotic LSU rRNA
Rfam family: Eukaryotic large subunit ribosomal RNA
Source: RNAcentral